UGAAGUACUUGCUGGUGGAGGCGGGCCUCCAUGGCUCACACGGGGAACUCUGAGGUUAUGGCGCGACAACGGCGACUCCUUAUGGCCAGAUAGAUGCGCCUAACCCUUGCUCCCCUCAUCGUAUCCCCUCCUCCGGCAGGAACUCGUCAUCUGGUGAGAUCCCCUCCCCAUGCCUCCAACCGUGUGCCAAGCACCGGCAAGAAAUUUUGUUUUGUG
This 216-nucleotide long non-coding RNA is filed under the name Hordeum vulgare. RNAcentral's name for it is "long non-coding RNA (HVUL_LNC002501)". The record is from RNAcentral. Lineage: Eukaryota; Viridiplantae; Streptophyta; Magnoliopsida; Poales; Poaceae.